Non-coding RNA from Phascolarctos cinereus (koala), 1621 nucleotides. The record is from RefSeq and is a predicted model, not a curated record. Lineage: Eukaryota; Metazoa; Chordata; Mammalia; Diprotodontia; Phascolarctidae.
AGCAAGUCCUACCUUCUCAACAACAGAGGGGGAAACCGAGACUCGAGACUCGCAGAGAAGGUACUUGCCCAAGGGCAGAAUGAGUCAGGGACAGAAUGAAGAACAGAACUCAGGCAUUUUGGCUUCUAGGAUAGAGUUCCAUCAACAGGAAUUUUAUUGAGCACCUACUAUGUGCCAUAUAUGUAUAUAAAGGGCCCAGCUAGAUGCUGGAGAAAAAAAAAAGAAGCAGAUUAGUCAAAUUAUGGAGGCUGGGGCAUUAGAGGAAGCAGAGUGCCAAAGGACAAGAGUCAGCUGGGCCCUGAAGGCCAGUAUCCAGGAGCUUGGGUUAGGCUAAGCUCUUUUUACCUGUGAUGGGAAUCAGGAGAGUAGGGAGGAAAAGGAAGGUUGGCAAUACUCCAUCAUUCUGGUAUUUCCCAGCAUGAGAAGAAAGACAUUCCAGGCAGAGGGAACUGUGAGCAAAGGAGUAGAGGUAAGACAUAUAAUGCACAUAGCAGAGCAGGGAGCUGGAAAGGCAUAUUGCUGCUAGUCAUGAAGAAUCUUUAUUGGUGGUCUAUGGAGUUGGAAUGUUCUCCUGUGGAAUGUCCAGGGUGGAGAAGGGAAGCUACGGAAGGUUAAGAUGGGCUUUGAGAUGAUGCCUCUGGUCACCUGUAUUAAAACAAAAAUGAAAUGUUCCCCAGAAAAGAGUAGGAAACCAUGAAGAAGAGAUUUACUAAGGGCAAGAUAAGGAGAAGGGAAGGUUUGCAGUUACAUAGUGUGGCAGAAAAAUGUCCACUAUUUGUGCCCAGCCCGUGAUAGAGCAUUCCGAGCUCAUAUUAGUCGGAUCAGCCAAUCAGUCAGACACAUUGUAACUUGACUCUAGCACAGUGAGGUCACUUUGGUCCUCUGCAAGAACCAGAGACCACAGCCAACGAAAUAGAGGAGAAAGAUGGGUAUGAAGAUUCUGAAAACACGGACCCAAGAGAGUCCCAGAGAUACUGCUUUGCCAUUUGAAAACUUGGGAAUAAAUAUAAGUGGACCCUAGAUCCAGAGCUGAAAGGGACCUUGGAGGUCCCACUUCCUUACUUUACAGGGGAGGAAGGUAAGGUCUAGAAACCUUAUGUGACUUGUCCAAAGACACAAGUAUUCAAUGUCAAAGACAGGGCUUGAAUCUGGGUCCUUUAACUCCGGAAUGGAAAAGAUCCUGGAUUAGAAUCAGGACUGGAAGAGAGACCUUGGAACAGGGAAGGUGGUGGUCCGUGUGGGAAACACCAAGAAUCUGUUUCUGGAAGAAGAUGUUCAGCAUUCCCCUACCUCGUGAGUGGGGGCAGCCUUUUCCACGGGCGGCCUAGUUGGAACCGGCUGCAUCUUUCAAAUCACCAGCCUGGGACAGUCUUGCUGUCUUUCCAGCAGCAUCCAAAGGGUACCUCUAGUAGAGUCCCUGGUAAUGACAGCUCAAACCAUGGUGGUCUUGGAGGAGGAUUCCAGACCAGAUGCUGCUGAGAGCCCCACAGGGAAGGCUUGAGAAGCCAGGGUUCCAGGAGGGAACAGGAACAUCCUUGGGUGACUGGAUUUAAAUGAAGCAGAGCUGUAUGUAGUCAUCAGCCUCACUCUCUCUCUUCCUGAGUCAUCGAAGCCCAGUGGC